RNAcentral lists this ribosomal RNA (492 nucleotides) under uncultured bacterium. RNAcentral describes it as "partial 16S ribosomal RNA". It matches the Rfam family "Bacterial small subunit ribosomal RNA", at positions 29 to 507 of the family's 1533-position model. The record is from RNAcentral.
AGUGAACGCUGGCGGUAGGCCUAACACAUGCAAGUCGAACGGCAGCACAGUAAGAGUUUGCUCUUACGGGUGGCGAGUGGCGGACGGGUGAGGAAUACAUCGGAAUCUACUUUUUCGUGGGGGAUAACGUAGGGAAACUUACGCUAAUACCGCAUACGACCUACGGGUGAAAGCAGUGGAUCUUCGGACCUUGCGCGAUUGAAUGAGCCGAUGUCGGAUUAGCUAGUUGGCGGGGUAAAGGCCCACCAAGGCGACGAUCCGUAGCGGGUCUGAGAGGAUGAUCAGCCACACUGGAACUGAGACACGGUCCAGACUCCUACGGGAGGCAGCAGUGGGGAAUAUUGGACAAUGGGCGCAAGCCUGAUCCAGCCAUACCGCGUGGGUGAAGAAGGCCUUCGGGUUGUAAAGCCCUUUUGUUGGGAAAGAAAAGCAGCAGGUUAAUACCCCGCUGUUCUGACGGUACCCAAAGAAUAAGCACCGGCUAACUUCGUG